Molecule: ribosomal RNA, 254 nt
Filed under: uncultured bacterium
Lineage: Bacteria
Description: partial 16S ribosomal RNA
Rfam family: Bacterial small subunit ribosomal RNA
Source: RNAcentral
UACGAAGGGGGGCUAGCGUUGCUCGGAAUCACUGGGCGUAAAGCGCACGUAGGCGGCUUUCUAAGUCAGGGGUGAAAUCCUGGAGCUCAACUCCAGAACUGCCUUUGAUACUGGAGAGCUUGAGUCCGGAAGAGGUGAGUGGAACUCCGAGUGUAGAGGUGAAAUGCGCAGAUAUCAGGAAGAACACCCGUGGCGAAGGCGGCUCUCUGGGACGGUACUGACGCUGAGACGCGAAAGCGUGGGGAGCGAACAGG